This 482-nucleotide ribosomal RNA is filed under the name uncultured bacterium. RNAcentral's name for it is "partial 16S ribosomal RNA". It matches the Rfam family "Bacterial small subunit ribosomal RNA", at positions 30 to 506 of the family's 1533-position model. The record is from RNAcentral.
AUUGAACGCUGGCGGCAGGCCUAACACAUGCCAGUCGAGCGGAUGAAGGGAGCUUGCUCCUGGAUUCAGCGGCGGACGGGUGAGUAAUGCCUAGGAAUCUGCCUGGUAGUGGGGGAUAACGUCCGGAAACGGGCGCUAAUACCGCAUACGUCCUGAGGGAGAAAGUGGGGGAUCUUCGGACCUCACGCUAUCAGAUGAGCCUAGGUCGGAUUAGCUAGUUGGUGGGGUAAAGGCCUACCAAGGCGACGAUCCGUAACUGGUCUGAGAGGAUGAUCAGUCACACUGAAACUGAGACACGGUCCAGACUCCAACGGGAGGCAGCAGUGGGGAAUAUUGGACAAUGGGCGAAAGCCUGAUCCAGCCAUGCCGCGUGUGUGAAGAAGGUCUUCGGAUUGUAAAGCACUUUAAGUUGGGAGGAAGGGCAGUAAGUUAAUACCUUGCUGUUUUGACGUUACCAACAGAAUAGCACCGGCUAACUUCGU